This 2965-nucleotide long non-coding RNA is filed under the name Hordeum vulgare. Its description in RNAcentral is "long non-coding RNA (HVUL_LNC000914)". Lineage: Eukaryota; Viridiplantae; Streptophyta; Magnoliopsida; Poales; Poaceae. The record is from RNAcentral.
CCCGUAUAAAAUGCUAACCCUAAAAUUUCCUCCUUGCCCCCUCCAAUCCCUCCCCCCACAAACUUUCCUCUAUCCCGAGCCCCCACUCUCUCGCCCAUGCGACUCGUCGCCGCUGCCGCCUGAUUCCGGCGACUUCCCGCGGCGAUGGAUGGGGCGCAGCACACGCCCCUCUCCCCCUCGCUCCGCUCCUUCCUCCCUCUGGCUAGAUUCACCACUCCCAGCCACGAGCGCUCACCCGCAAGCCCUCCCCAUGGCUAGGGUUUCGGUGCCAGUGCGCCUCCGGUGGAUCUUCUCCGUCACCUACCGUGUGUUGGUUGGUGCUCCUGGAACAGCGCGGCACUGAGGCCCUCCUCCCGCGCGCGGGAUGUGCUUACGCGACGCACCCCGGCCCGCGGCGGCAUGUUCGUGACGAGUGGCGCCCUUGUCCCGCUCAACUAUGGUGGCGGCGAACACCGAUGGUUCUUCUCGUCCUGUAUCUCUAAGGACGCGUGCCGGUACAGCUCAGACAUCCCCGACAGUAAAGCUCGUCCUCCCAUCUGACAUGUACAGGGUGUCCUCACCUGCGUGGAUUUGCCUCCUCCUCGGCACGGAACCUGCAACAUGUACGUGAUGAGCUUCCUCUCUCCCUCCUGUACCCGGUGUCACAUGCAUCUGUGUGCACUAGCAUCUGUACAUACAUACACAUGAAUAAGCUUCUCAUUAAUUUCUGAGUACAUUCUAGCGAACCUUAGGGACAGAGCCACGAUUUGAGCAUAGGGGGCGAAGACAAUAGCACAAGAGAUUUUUUUCUUUGGACUAAGCCCUUUCGAGUAAUUUCUUAACAUAAUUAACCAGCUUGUUGUAUAGCAAAUCUAUGCAUUAAUAGAUAGACAAUAAGAUAAGAGAUGUGAAUUUGUGAAAAAAUAUUAGUGUAUAAUUUUUUGCUUAGGAUUUUUGCAUAUCAAUUAAAUUAUGGUUAGCCUAUUAUGUCAUGUAGGCGGAGCCAACAUUUGAACACAGCAGGGCAAGGCAAAUAACUAGUAACUACAAAAGUAUUAUCAUACGAUGUCAUUUUCACUUUGAGCUUAUAGUUGAAUAUCUACCGCCGGCGAUACAAUAUUUUAAGGAUUUUCCUAGUGCACAUCUAGAUCAAUCAUUUGGAUUUUGCCUUCUGUAAUUGUACAAAAUAGUAUACAAGUCAGGAGGCUUAAAAUUCCUAGCUAGUACUUGGGAUCAAUCCAACUAGUAUGUAAUUCAAGGUAAAUUCAGUAAGAAAAAUGAACCAAUGACUUUUAAAAGUUUGUAAUGAUAUACCUUAAGUCUGUACAGUCAUCGUAAUGAUAUACAUUAAAUCUAUGCAGAUUUGAUCGAUUAACAUAUAUUGCAGUUUGUAAUGACAUACAUUAAAUCUGUGCAGUCAUCGUAAGUCAUCCGCGGCCGUAAAUGGGCUAUAGCCUGCUGGGCUUUGGGAUUUUCUAAUUUAAAAAUGACGGCUUAUCAUUAACAUAUAUGGGCUAAUGAGUAAUUAAUUAUGGGAUUUCCUGUGUUUUACAACCUACUAGUAGCAGCAUUUUAACUGCUUGAAACCAUUUCCUGUGCUUUCACGUAGCAGCAUUUUAACUGCAUGAAACCAUUUCAUGUGCUUUCAUGUUGGAUUGAUGGGUGGACUUGGCAAUUGUAUGAUUGCUCUGUACUUAUUUCCUGUGCUUUAGAACCCGUGCUUUACAGUCUAGUUUUUUUUUUCUUCUCAUGAAGUAAACAAUGUAGCUAAGCUUGAGGCAUCCACCAAGGAGGUUGAGAUGUUGCAUGUUGUACAAAAUCAAGAAACCCAAUGUAAGUACUGUUGCUUUUAGUUCUUAUUGCUGUCAUAUGUUUCCUGCUAUAAAUAAUAGUACUCUCAAUGCUUGUCAAGUGGGAACCCCCUAGCCUUGAGAAUAUAUAAUCUUUAUGUGCAUAGAAGUAUAUGAAUAAUGACAUCAAUUUGGGUUUGUAUUUUUCUAUGGAUUUAUAUGGCCUCUACUAGUCUUUCUCGAGAACAAACAAUUUAGGUUAUUUUAGUUGUUAUGUGUUACUUCAUACUAGCUAGAUUCAUUUAGUGGUUUGAGUAAAACACAUCAUUUCUUGGACAAAUAAGAUUUCCUUUAGUGUAAGAAAUUAUUUUUAAACACAGGCUGAUUUAUUGUUUUGUAUCCCAUCUUAUUGAUUGAUUAAUCAGACCGCAUGACAAGAAGCAAAGGGAAUGAAAGAACAUCAGUUGUUUGUCCUCAUGUAGUUUUGAUCUUUUAUUGCAAGGUGAGUAAAUGUGUAGCUUAUGCUUUAAAUUUGUAGGCAAUGUGCUAUUUUAGAACUUAGGACAACUUGUAAUUCAUUUUUAAGUAUGUUCUAAUUCUCUUAUUUCUACUUACUAUUCAUCUCAUGAAUAACUAAUGUUGUUGUAAAUAUGCUAGGUAUGAUCGGGUAGUGGGAUCUUGUGCUGGCCAUCACAAUCUGCCAUGACUAAUAGUUGCCAUCAGGAGGGCUACUAGCAAGAAAUUGAAUAUCUUCAAUAAUGUAUAUGCUUUGAUGCUGUAAACUAGAUUGUGUUGGUUUUUAACAUUGGCUGAAGUUGUAUUUCGUUAAUUGAUGUUGUAAAUUAUCAUUACAUGGAUUAUUUUGUGAGCUAUUAUGUUGUAGAUAGGUUUGGAUGGCUAUGUAAAUACCAUGUGAUCUGUGUAUUGUAUGACACUCGGAAGUACUUUGUUUUGUGGAAAAAUUUAUUGUAUGACACUCGGAAGUACUUUGUUUUGUGGAAAAAUUGGAAUCAAUUGUGUAAAGUAUGAAGGUAAGAAUAGUAUCGGGUCAAAUUUGGUUGAAAGAAACAUGCUAAUGGCCCGAAUACAUAAAUUGUGCCUAAAUUCGUGACGGUUCUUGAUAGAAACAGUGUCCACGUAGGCAGCCAUGUCAUGUCAAUUGGUCGACGGGACUAGUUUGGUCUGGACGGGCCUGG